CCCCAUCUGCUCUCUCUCUCUCUUUCUCUCUCUGAGAAUACGGACUCCUCCCCGCACUUAGCCGCCGCCUCCCUCCCUUGCACCAGAGGACGGCACCACCGCCGCUCUCCCCGCGCACGCCGAAUAGCCAAUCUCCCCUCUCUCUUCUGUUUUGUUUCUGUUUUCUGAUUACAAAAACCCCUCUCUCUCACUCCCCGCGCCCGCCGAAUCGCCAAGCCUCAUCAACUCCUCCGGGAGUAUAAUCAUCGAGUGUUCAGAGUCUUUCAGACAAACAGAAAAGCAGAUCUGAAAAUGGGUCAAUCAGUGAAACCCAUAUCGAGCCCAGUCCCCGAUGAGUGGUUCCCAACCCUAGCGGUCUUCAUGCUUGCGAUCGGCCUCAUCGUCACCGCUUCUUUCUUUAUGGUUAUGCUUGGGAAAUAACAACUGCUGAAGGUGGCUAUGGUCUAGAUGAACUCUUAAGUAGUCGAAAGAGUGUUCUGACCGAAAUACAAAAUACCCAAGCAUCUCCCCAAGGUCAAAGUGAUAGCAAUCUAACUCAAGGCUUCAUGACUCCCAAAUUUUGUUGAUUGAGGACGAAUCGAACAUUGCGCUCACCCCAGCAAAGAGAACUGCCAAGGGCAACGGAAUCCUACAGAAUAUUUGCCAUCCAAUCAGCUUUAAACAGUUGGAAGCCCCCGUAACUUAAGAAGUUGGGCUGCCCGCGGAAUAGAACAUGCUGCUCAGUCGUAUCUAGCUGCAUCAACAUUUGAUUCUCGAUGCAUUUGUGUAGGCAAAUACAGGAUGAGGUUGAAAUACGAGAAUUGAUUGCUUAUUGAUCAUGUUGGCCAUCGUUGCUGUUGGGAAAGUCGUUCGGCUCGAACCUGGAAAAUUCAGGCAGUGGAAGACUGCAAUGUCUUAGUUGAAACUUUAGAGACUUUCAUCGAGGAGAGGGAAGCAGUUACAGAAAUAUGGCUGUUCCUUGGAGGCAACAUUGAUGGAAAGGAUAAGGGUUUUGAACUUGCAAUCUGGGAGUUGGAUUUAAGAUCUGAAUUGCCUAUUUUAUUUAUACCUCACAAAGGAUCGCGAUCAGAAUGCGUUGCGCUGUGCCGCCUUCAGGCACGGGCAUGCACUAGAAAUUGUAUUCAAUUUUCGUUGUAUAUCUAAAGGAGUGUGGUGCUGCUCUUUCUUAGAAAUUGUAUCUUAAAAAUGCUGAAGCUGUAAAUUGGUAGCUGUAAAUUGUAUCUAAAGGGUUCUGUUA
Molecule: long non-coding RNA, 1237 nt
Organism: Rhododendron vialii
Lineage: Eukaryota; Viridiplantae; Streptophyta; Magnoliopsida; Ericales; Ericaceae
Exons: 6
Source: RefSeq, a predicted model, not a curated record